RNAcentral lists this ribosomal RNA (492 nucleotides) under uncultured bacterium. RNAcentral describes it as "bacterial SSU rRNA". It matches the Rfam family "Bacterial small subunit ribosomal RNA", at positions 8 to 474 of the family's 1533-position model. The record is from RNAcentral.
AGAGUUUGAUCAUGGCUCAGAAUGAACGCUGGCGGCGUGCUUAACACAUGCAAGUCGAACGAGAAAGGGAUUGCUUGCAAUCCUGAGUAGAGUGGCGCACGGGUGAGUAACACGUAGAUAAUCUACCUUCAAGCCCGGAAUAACUAUUCGAAAGGAUAGCUAAUACCGGAUAAAGUUGAUUGACUUAAGUUGAUUAAUGAAAGAUUGCCUCUUCUUGAAAGCAAUUGUUUGGGGACGAGUUUGCGGACCAUUAGUUAGUUGGUGGGGUAACGGCCUACCAAGACUACGAUGGUUAGCUGGUCUGAGAGGAUGAUCAGCCACACUGGAACCGGUACACGGUCCAGACUCCUACGGGAGGCAGCAGUGAGGAAUUUUGCGCAAUGGGGGAAACCCUGACGCAGCAACGCCGCGUGAGUGAAGAAGGCCCUUGGGUCGUAAAGCUCUGUCGACAGGGAAGAAAUUGUAGUCAUCCAAUAGGUGUCUGCAUUGACG